AGGUCUUGACAUCUUUUGACAAUCCUAGAGAUAGGACUUUCCCUUCGGGGACAAAAUGACAGGUGGUGCAUGGUUGUCGUCAGCUCGUGUCGUGAGAUGUUGGGUUAAGUCCCGCAACGAGCGCAACCCUUAUUGUUAGUUGCCAGCAUUAAGUUGGGCACUCUAGCAAGACUGCCGGUGACAAACCGGAGGAAGGUGGGGAUGACGUCAAAUCAUCAUGCCCCUUAUGACCUGGGCUACACACGUGCUACAAUGGACGGUACAACGAGUCGCAAGACCGCGAGGUUUAGCAAAUCUCUUAAAGCCGUUCUCAGUUCGGAUUGUAGGCUGCAACUCGCCUACAUGAAGUCGGAAUCGCUAGUAAUCGCGGAUCAGCAUGCCGCGGUGAAUACGUUCCCGGGCCUU
RNAcentral lists this ribosomal RNA (405 nucleotides) under uncultured Lactobacillus sp. RNAcentral describes it as "bacterial SSU rRNA". It matches the Rfam family "Bacterial small subunit ribosomal RNA", at positions 976 to 1382 of the family's 1533-position model. Lineage: Bacteria; Bacillati; Bacillota; Bacilli; Lactobacillales; Lactobacillaceae. The record is from RNAcentral.